CAGUAGCCGCGGUAAUACAGAGGGUGCGAGCGUUAAUCGGAUUUACUGGGCGUAAAGCGUGCGUAGGCGGCUAAUUGAGUCGGAUGUGAAAUCCCCGAUCUUAACUUGGGAAUUGCAUUCGAUACUGGUUAGCUAGAGUGUGGGAGAGGAUGGUAGAAUUCCAGGUGUAGCGGUGAAAUGCGUAGAGAUCUGGAGGAAUACCGAUGGCGAAGGCAGCCAUCUGGCCUAACACUGACGCUGAGGUACGAAAGCAUGGGGAGCAAACAGGAUUAGAUACCCCCGUAGUCCCUGUCUCUUAUAA
Molecule: ribosomal RNA, 301 nt
Filed under: uncultured bacterium
Lineage: Bacteria
Description: partial 16S ribosomal RNA
Rfam family: Bacterial small subunit ribosomal RNA
Source: RNAcentral